This 157-nucleotide ribosomal RNA is filed under the name Mucor circinelloides. RNAcentral describes it as "5.8S ribosomal RNA". It matches the Rfam family "5.8S ribosomal RNA". Rfam says of the family: 5.8S ribosomal RNA (5.8S rRNA) is a component of the large subunit of the eukaryotic ribosome. It is transcribed by RNA polymerase I as part of the 45S precursor that also contains 18S and 28S rRNA. Functionally, it is thought that 5.8S rRNA may be involved in ribosome translocation. The record is from RNAcentral. RNAcentral also lists the same sequence under 1 other name. Lineage: Eukaryota; Fungi; Mucoromycota; Mucoromycetes; Mucorales; Mucoraceae.
AACUUUUAACAACGGAUCUCUUGGUUCUCGCAUCGAUGAAGAACGUAGCAAAGUGCGAUAACUAGUGUGAAUUGCAUAUUCAGUGAAUCAUCGAGUCUUUGAACGCAACUUGCGCUCAUUGGUAUUCCAAUGAGCACGCCUGUUUCAGUAUCAAAAC